UGGUGGAGUGAUUUGUCUGGUUAAUUCCGAUAACGAACGAGACCUUAACCUGCUAAAUAGUCCCUGCAUUUUUUUAAUGUAUUGACUUCUUAGAGGGACUUGACAGAUUUACUGUCAGGAAGUUUGAGGCAAUAACA
Molecule: ribosomal RNA, 137 nt
Filed under: uncultured eukaryote
Lineage: Eukaryota
Description: partial 18S ribosomal RNA
Rfam family: Eukaryotic small subunit ribosomal RNA
Source: RNAcentral